UGACUUUUCCAAAUACCACAUGUUUUCCAUCCAACCAGGUGGGCUUGGUCAAGGUGAUGAAGAACUGAGAGCCGUUGGUGUCAGGCCCAGCGUUGGCCAUGCUGACCCACCCAAUGCCAUAGUGCUUCAGCUUGAAGUUCUCAUCUGGAAACGUCUCACCAUAGAUGCUCACGCCUGAGACAAAACAAGGAGGAGAGUCAACAGAUGUCUUUCGAUAGGAAGACGACAUCUUCAUAUUUGGCUUAAAAGAAAGAAUAUCCAGUUGAAAGGAAAUAAAACUGAGAGAUACCUCUCCUGUUGCUAGAGCAACAAAAUUUUCCACUGUCUUGGGCACAACUUUUCCAAAGAGGCCAAUCACAAUUCUGCCAACAUCUUUGUCUCCAAUCCUCACAUCAAAGAAGACCUGUGUGCAGUUGAAAG
Sapajus apella (tufted capuchin) is the source of this 420-nucleotide long non-coding RNA. RefSeq lists it as uncharacterized. The transcript is spliced from 2 exons. NCBI's taxonomy places the organism in Eukaryota, Metazoa, Chordata, Mammalia, Primates, Cebidae. The record is from RefSeq and is a predicted model, not a curated record.